This 1087-nucleotide ribosomal RNA is filed under the name Pediococcus ethanolidurans. RNAcentral's name for it is "bacterial SSU rRNA". It matches the Rfam family "Bacterial small subunit ribosomal RNA", at positions 60 to 1099 of the family's 1533-position model. The record is from RNAcentral. Lineage: Bacteria; Bacillati; Bacillota; Bacilli; Lactobacillales; Lactobacillaceae.
AGUCGAACGCACUUUCGUUAAUUGAUUUUGAGAUGCUUGCAUCGAAGAUGAUUUUAACUAUAAAGUGAGUGGCGAACGGGUGAGUAACACGUGGGUAACCUGCCCAGAAGUGGGGGAUAACACCUGGAAACAGAUGCUAAUACCGCAUAACAAAAUUAACCGCAUGGUUGAUUUUUAAAAGAUGGCUUCGGCUAUCACUUCUGGAUGGACCCGCGGCGUAUUAGCUAGUUGGUGAGAUAAAGGCUCACCAAGGCAGUGAUACGUAGCCGACCUGAGAGGGUAAUCGGCCACAUUGGGACUGAGACACGGCCCAGACUCCUACGGGAGGCAGCAGUAGGGAAUCUUCCACAAUGGACGCAAGUCUGAUGGAGCAACGCCGCGUGAGUGAUGAAGGCUUUCGGGUCGUAAAACUCUGUUGUUGGAGAAGAACGUGUGUGAGAGUAACUGCUCAUGCAGUGACGGUAUCCAACCAGAAAGCCACGGCUAACUACGUGCCAGCAGCCGCGGUAAUACGUAGGUGGCAAGCGUUAUCCGGAUUUAUUGGGCGUAAAGCGAGCGCAGGCGGUCUUUUAAGUCUAAUGUGAAAGCCUUCGGCUUAACCGAAGAAGUGCAUUGGAAACUGGGAGACUUGAGUGCAGAAGAGGAGAGUGGAACUCCAUGUGUAGCGGUGAAAUGCGUAGAUAUAUGGAAGAACACCAGUGGCGAAGGCGGCUCUCUGGUCUGCAACUGACGCUGAGGCUCGAAAGCAUGGGUAGCGAACAGGAUUAGAUACCCUGGUAGUCCAUGCCGUAAACGAUGAAUGCUAAGUGUUGGAGGGUUUCCGCCCUUCAGUGCUGCAGCUAACGCAUUAAGCAUUCCGCCUGGGGAGUACGACCGCAAGGUUGAAACUCAAAAGAAUUGACGGGGGCCCGCACAAGCGGUGGAGCAUGUGGUUUAAUUCGAAGCUACGCGAAGAACCUUACCAGGUCUUGACAUCUUCUGCUAACCUAAGAGAUUAGGCGUUCCCUUCGGGGACGGAAUGACAGGUGGUGCAUGGUUGCCUUCAGCUCCUGUCGUGAGAUGUUGGGUUAAGUCCCGCAACGAGCGC